This 876-nucleotide ribosomal RNA is filed under the name human gut metagenome. RNAcentral's name for it is "bacterial SSU rRNA". It matches the Rfam family "Bacterial small subunit ribosomal RNA", at positions 8 to 866 of the family's 1533-position model. The record is from RNAcentral.
AGAGUUUGAUCCUGGCUCAGGACGAACGCUGGCGGCGUGCCUAAUACAUGCAAGUAGAACGCUGAAGAGAGGAGCUUGCUCUUCUUGGAUGAGUUGCGAACGGGUGAGUAACGCGUAGGUAACCUGCCUUGUAGCGGGGGAUAACUAUUGGAAACGAUAGCUAAUACCGCAUAACAAUGGAUGACACAUGUCAUUUAUUUGAAAGGAGCAAUUGCUCCACUACAAGAUGGACCUGCGUUGUAUUAGCUAGUAGGUGAGGUAAUGGCUCACCUAGGCGACGAUACAUAGCCGACCUGAGAGGGUGAUCGGCCACACUGGGACUGAGACACGGCCCAGACUCCUACGGGAGGCAGCAGUAGGGAAUCUUCGGCAAUGGGGGCAACCCUGACCGAGCAACGCCGCGUGAGUGAAGAAGGUUUUCGGAUCGUAAAGCUCUGUUGUAAGUCAAGAACGGGUGUGAGAGUGGAAAGUUCACACUGUGACGGUAGCUUACCAGAAAGGGCCGGCUAACUACGUGCCAGCAGCCGCGGUAAUACGUAGGUCCCGAGCGUUGUCCGGAUUUAUUGGGCGUAAAGCGAGCGCAGGCGGUUUGAUAAGUCUGAAGUUAAAGGCUGUGGCUCAACCAUAGUUCGCUUUGGAAACUGUCAAACUUGAGUGCAGAAGGGGAGAGUGGAAUUCCAUGUGUAGCGGUGAAAUGCGUAGAUAUAUGGAGGAACACCGGUGGCGAAGGCGGCUCUCUGGUCUGUAACUGACGCUGAGGCUCGAAAGCGUGGGGAGCAAACAGGAUUAGAUACCCUGGUAGUCCACGCCGUAAACGAUGAGUGCUAGGUGUUGGAUCCUUUCCGGGAUUCAGUGCCGCAGCUAACGCAUUAAGCA